GUUUUUCUCAGAUGAUUGAGGUGGUGGCAUCAAUGGCACGAGGGCCUGUGUUUUUGGCCGGGGAGGUUUUAGAGUGUCUUAUAACCUUCACAAACCCUAUAUCACAUCUGUCUACAUCUGCCAGCAGUGAGAUGUUGGCCUGGGCCAGUGCUCAGAUCCACUGCCAGUUCCAUGCCAGUGAGAGUCGUGUGGCUCUACCCGCUCAGGGCACCAAGCAGGACGUCCAAGCUGAGAGCGACACUGUACUGAUACCAAGCAGAGGUGAACGAGGGCAGUGUGUGCUGGACACACCACCAAAGAUCUUGUUCUGUGACCUUCGCUUGGAUCCUGGAGAGAGCAAGACUUAUUCCUAUAGUGAGGUUGUGCCCACUGAUGGUCCACCCAGUUUCCGGGGUCAGGCAGUGAAGUACGUGUACAAGCUCACGAUUGGCUGCCAGCGAGUCAACUCACCCAUCAAGUUACUGCGAGUCCCUUUCAGAGUUUUAGUGCUUCAUGGCAUGCCAGAGCCUCCGUUUCCCCAAGAUGAGGAAGUGGCUCCCUCAAACCCCUUUCUGGAGGAGGAGGAAGGAAGCAGGAGAGAUACAAGACCGCUAGAAAGAGCUCUGGACAUGCUGAUGAUCACCACCUCACGACGAUGCCCAUAUAUGUUCAACAUCACAAACGUGCGGGGAAAGGUGGCUAAGUUCUGCAUCUUUAAGACUGUGUACAGGCUCGGGGAAGAUAUUAUUGGCACCUUCACAUUCUCAGAAGGGGAUAUUCCAUGUUUACAGUAUUCAGUAAGUCUACAAAGUGAGGAGGAGGUCCAAGAGCAGUACCAGAGACAUCCCGGCCAGGCUGUCAGUGUCACUGCUCAUGCCCGACAUCUAGAGUCCUGCUUGCACACAGCCUCCAGCCAUUUCUCUCUCCCUGUACCCCUCAAUGUCACACCAGGAUUCACCACAGAUAUAGUGACGUUAAGAUGGCGUCUGCAUUUUGAGUUCGUAACAGCGCGGGAGCCAGUGGAGGCACCGGUGGUUCUGCAGAAUCAGUCAGAAGUCACAGUAUGGACGGGGGCAGAGCAUGUGGAUGUGGACACCUUCAGUUGGGACCUUCCAAUCAAAGUGCUUCCCACAAAUCCCACGCUAGCUUCAUAUGUUUCACAGUUCACAGGGACAAACAGCAUCAACAUUUGAGUUGUGUUGGUGUUUGUGCAGGGAGAUCAUAAAACUAACGAGUUAUUGUUGUUGCGGGAUGUCCUGUUAGUGGUCUAUUUUAAAUUCAAAGGUGGCUUAUAUUUAGAGUUGUUUUGUUGGUUUUUAUCUUUUGCCGUGCAAUGAGAUGACAAUUCUUUAUUUAAGCUACUUCACAUUUCAGCCUUGACCAACAGACUGCUUUACCUCCUGUAAUGUAAAGAUUUCUGUAUUUAUUGUCUGUAUUUCAUUCGUAUGCUCCAACCUAUAAUGACAAAUGGUUUCUAUUGUAUUUCAAUUCUCUAUUACAAGCUAUUUUGUACCAUUUCUCUAUAUGCAAACCAUAACUGAAUAAAACUCAAGAACAGUUU
Molecule: RNA transcript, 1540 nt
Organism: Sinocyclocheilus anshuiensis
Lineage: Eukaryota; Metazoa; Chordata; Actinopteri; Cypriniformes; Cyprinidae
Gene: rgp1
Gene name: GP1 homolog, RAB6A GEF complex partner 1
Exons: 9
Source: RefSeq, a predicted model, not a curated record